AAAAGAUGUUACCCUCUAAGAAAGUCAGAGGUUGGUCUCCUGCAGGCAAGUGAAGGUAUCAAAGUCAGAGUAUUUGAGGUGAGGCAUCUUGACAGUGUGGUCAGGAAACUGGAAGCCAGGAUCCAGGACACAGUGAAGAAAGGAACCAGAGAAGAGAUAUCACCAUAGUCAGAGCUAAGAUUCAGCAGCUAAAACAGGAACUGCUGGAUGGGCAUCCGCAGUGCUUUGAGGCGAAGCAGCCCAAGAACUUGCCAGUCAAGAUGAAAAACUUCAUCUAAUGGAAUCCAGCUUGAAAGCAACUCAAGAGCAGCUAACUGAGCAAAGAGCAGAAAUAGUUCGUCAAGAACAGAACAGUACAAAAUCACAGGCAGAGCUGAAGACAGUGAGAGAACGUAUUAUUGCUUCUGAAGAAGAAUUUAAUGAUUUCAAGUUCAGACGAAUGAAGAAAAUUUAGCUGAUAUGCCAGAGAAAUGUUAACAGUCUCCAAAAUGUAAUUGCCAAAAUAUUGAAGACCUUGUCAAUAAAGAGAAACAGCUGGUGAUUUCA
RNAcentral lists this long non-coding RNA (546 nucleotides) under Monodelphis domestica (gray short-tailed opossum). RNAcentral's name for it is "lncRNA (ENSMODG00000031484.2)". Lineage: Eukaryota; Metazoa; Chordata; Mammalia; Didelphimorphia; Didelphidae. The record is from RNAcentral.